ACUCCUACGGGAGGCAGCAGUGGGGAAUAUUGCACAAUGGGCGCAAGCCUGAUGCAGCCAUGCCGCGUGUGUGAAGAAGGCCUUCGGGUUGUAAAGCACUUUCAGUCGUGAGGAAGGUAGUGUAGUUAAUAGCUGCAUUAUUUGUACGUUAGCGACAGAAGAAGCACCGGCUAACUCCGUGCCAGCAGCCGCGGUAAUACGGAGGGUGCGAGCGUUAAUCGGAAUUACUGGGCGUAAAGCGCAUGCAGGUGGUUUGUUAAGUCAGAUGUGAAAGCCCGGGGCUCAACCUCGGAAUAGCAUUUGAAACUGGCAGACUAGAGUACUGUAGAGGGGGUAGGAAUUUCAGGUGUAGCGGUGAAAUGCGUAGAGAUCGUGAAGGAUACCGGUGGCGAAGGCGGCCCCUGGACAGAUACUGACACUCAGAUGCGAAAGCGUGGGAGCAAACAGGAUUAAGAU
This 456-nucleotide ribosomal RNA is filed under the name uncultured bacterium. Its description in RNAcentral is "bacterial SSU rRNA". It matches the Rfam family "Bacterial small subunit ribosomal RNA", at positions 335 to 783 of the family's 1533-position model. The record is from RNAcentral.